UCGGUUAUAAGACUCACUUUGUGCUGGUCCCAAUGUGAGUAUUAUAAGCGGCGUCCACUGUAUUUUAGUAUUCAUUCGUUAUUCAAUUCGCCCAAGUGACGCCUUAGAACUUUUCGACGGAAUUUUAGGUUUUGAUGGUGUAGGGGUAGAGUUUAAAUAUUGUAUAAUGUAACUAAACAUUUAUGUAUAUUAAAAACAAAAAUUGUUGGAUUUUGCAGGAAACAAGCACUCCAGUGUACUGUACUACUGUAGUAUGACUAGCCUCUAGCAUGUACAACACUAUUUAUACCUAUUUAAUUGUAUAAAUAUGUUAUUAUUCUGUUACCUGGGGUUGCGCGCUCAAGAAUAAAAAACAUUCGCCUACGUCACCCGAGUCGUAAAUUAGCAAUAAAUUUUAAUUUUAAAACUUAAAAGUAAAAUAUGUAUGUCACGAAAGAGUUGGUAAUCAAACUUACGUAAAGGUACACCGACUCUUCGGGUUAAAUAAAGCUGUGUUAUACAAGAGUCGGAGGAGACACCAUAUCAAGGGACUUGAUCUUCAUCUCAUUCCGAACUGGAAGGAUGGAAAUAUUUUACAAAAAUUACUUGAGCAAAAUUAAAAAUAUCAGAAGUGGUUAAACACAUUGUGUGUUCAGUUGCUUUCCAUAAAGUUACAGGCGGCAAACAAUAAAUGCAAUUUAAUACACGAGUUUGGUUGAAAAUAAUUUAAACUAUAAGAAAUUAUGAUGAGGGUGUUUGAAAAUGGAUCAAUUGCUUCAUAUAAAUUGUUCGGAAUGUUAAAUUCAUUUCUGGCUUCGUUGAACUGGCAAUAGGUGAUGAUGUGCUUCAUGGAGUUUUUGUGUUGCAUAAGGGCGGAUAUGUCUUUUCCAUGAAGUGUCCAUGUCCAUGUGUUAAUUUGAUGUGACCGAUUGAGAAUUACUUUAUAACUUAAGUUAUUAUGCUGUGAGCAAUGAACAUAUUAUUAUACCAAUCUAUGGUUGUAAACUUGUAAACUUGCAACUUGGGAGGUACUAGGUACCUAUAAUAUAUUUAUAUAAU
Long non-coding RNA from Myzus persicae (green peach aphid), 1038 nucleotides. RefSeq lists it as uncharacterized. The transcript has 3 exons. Lineage: Eukaryota; Metazoa; Arthropoda; Insecta; Hemiptera; Aphididae. The record is from RefSeq and is a predicted model, not a curated record.